ACCAACAGGGAUUGCCCUAGUAACGGCGAGUGAAGCGGCAACAGCUCAAAUUUGAAAUCUGGCUCUUUCAGAGUCCGAGUUGUAAUUUGCAGAGGGCGCUUUGGCUUUGGCAGCGGUCCAAGUUCCUUGGAACAGGACGUCACAGAGGGUGAGAAUCCCGUACGUGGUCGCUAGCUAUUGCCGUGUAAAGCCCCUUCGACGAGUCGAGUUGUUUGGGAAUGCAGCUCUAAAUGGGAGGUAAAUUUCUUCUAAAGCUAAAUACUGGCCAGAGACCGAUAGCGCACAAGUAGAGUGAUCGAAAGAUGAAAAGCACUUUGGAAAGAGAGUCAAACAGCACGUGAAAUUGUUGAAAGGGAAGCGCUUGCAGCCAGACUUGCUUGCAGUUGCUCAUCCGGGCUUUUGCCCGGUGCACUCUUCUGCAGGCAGGCCAGCAUCAGUUUGGGCGGUGGGAUAAAGGUCUCUGUCACGUACCUCUCUUCGGGGAGGCCUUAUAGGGGAGGCGACAUACCACCAGCCUGGACUGAGGUCCGCGCAUCUGCUAGGAUGCUGGCGUAAUGGCUGUAAGCGGCCCGUCUUGAAACACGGACCAAGGAGUCUAACAUCUAUGCGAGUGUUUGGGUGUCAAGCCCGAGCGCGUAAUGAAAGUGAACGGAGGUGGGAACCCGCAAGGGUGCACCAUCGACCGAUCCUGAUGUCUUCGGAAGGAUUUGAGUAAGAGCAUGGCUGUUGGGACCCGAAAGAUGGUGAACUAUGCUUGAAUAGGGUGAAGCCAGAGGAAACUCUGGUGGAGGCUCGCAGCGGUUCUGACGUGCAAAUCGAUCGUCAAAUUUGGGCAUAGGGGCGAAAGACUAAUCGAACUAUCUAGUAGCUGGUUCCUGC
This 879-nucleotide ribosomal RNA is filed under the name Pyrenophora sieglingiae. Its description in RNAcentral is "partial large subunit ribosomal RNA". It matches the Rfam family "Eukaryotic large subunit ribosomal RNA", at positions 64 to 961 of the family's 3401-position model. The record is from RNAcentral. Lineage: Eukaryota; Fungi; Ascomycota; Dothideomycetes; Pleosporales; Pleosporaceae.